This is a long non-coding RNA of Oncorhynchus nerka (sockeye salmon), 1101 nucleotides long. RefSeq lists it as uncharacterized. Lineage: Eukaryota; Metazoa; Chordata; Actinopteri; Salmoniformes; Salmonidae. The transcript has 3 exons. The record is from RefSeq and is a predicted model, not a curated record.
CUCUCUUCACCCCCCUCUCAGUCAAUUGUUCGUGCACCUGUGACGUCCUACUGCUGAACAGUGCCAUCGCAAGCUGCUAAUUCUCACAGAAGUGAGACAUCCUAGCCGUUGAGUUAGCAACAGCAGCUGUAAACGUGGGCUAGGAAAGGACGGACGACGUAUCCAGUCUAACACACAACGACGAUACUACAACGUAAUCCAAUUUACCACCAGUGACAUUCUUCUGAGGACAGGAAGAUCUCUGUUGGCCAACACGGCCAGCAUCUACGACCAACCUACCGAAGCGCAGCUCAGAUGGACCUGAGCCUAAGGACCAUGCCUCAGGACUACCUGGCCUGAUGACUCCUUGCUGUCCCCAGUCCACCUGGUCGUGCUGCUGCUCCAGUUUCAACUGUUCUGCCUGCGGCUAUGGAACCCUGACCUGUUCACCGGAUGUGCGCUACCUUAUCGCGGACCUGCUGUUUUCAACUCUGUCUCUACCACACCUGCUGUCUCUAACUCUGAAUGGUCAGCUAUGAAAAGCCAACUGACAUUUACUCCUGACGUGCUGCCCUGUUGCACCCUCUACAACCACUGUGAUUAUUAUUAUUUGACCCUGCAGGUCAUCUAUGAACGUUUGAACAUCUUGGCCAUGUACUGUUAUAAUCUCCACCCGGCACAGCCAGAAGAGGACUUUCUCCAUCCGGGCCGUCAGUUUUUUUCGACAUGGCAUCUUGCAGUCUGGUUCUAGAUAUGCCAUCAGGGCUUUGAAGCCGACAUCCUCUACCAAUGACAAUGGCUGCAUUUGAACUGCAAUCAUUUCUGUAAUCAGCACUGUGAUUACCUGUCUAAUGUCUGUUGUUGGGGGCCUGUGCUACUGCCAGCAAUGGUUUGGGUCUCACAGUACCUCCCUGUACUCUGAUUUACAUUUUGUGUAAAACCCCAUCAAAAAACGUUUUUUUCCUAGUUGUUAACGAUCCCAAUUUAUUUAAAAUGUUUAACACCCGUAAAGGACACGGAGAUGAUGGCUUGCCAGCCUUGUGACCAACCAACUGACCAAUGAAACCAUUGUCAACAAACUAGUAAUGCAAUAAAAAAUGUAAAUCAAAACAUUUCCCAUGA